UGGCGGACGGGUGAGUAAUGUCUGGGAAACUGCCCGAUGGAGGGGGAUAACUACUGGAAACGGUAGCUAAUACCGCAUAACGUCGCAAGACCAAAGAGGGGGACCUUCGGGCCUCUUGCCAUCGGAUGUGCCCAGAUGGGAUUAGCUAGUAGGUGGGGUAACGGCUCACCUAGGCGACGAUCCCUAGCUGGUCUGAGAGGAUGACCAGCCACACUGGAACCGAGACACGGUCCAG
Molecule: ribosomal RNA, 235 nt
Filed under: uncultured bacterium
Lineage: Bacteria
Description: partial 16S ribosomal RNA
Rfam family: Bacterial small subunit ribosomal RNA
Source: RNAcentral